AGACGUAGGAUGCAAGCGUUAUCCGGAAUCAUUGGGCGUAAAGAGUCCGUAGGUGGUAUGUUAAGUUGGAUGUUAAAUUUUUGAGCUCAACUCAAAAAAUGUGUCCAAAACUGGCAAACUGGAGACAGGUAGAGGUAAGUGGAAUUCUGCAUGUAGGGGUUAUAUCCGUAGAUAUGCAGAGGAACACCAAAAGCGAAGGCAGCUUACUGGACCUGUUCUGACACUCAAGGACGAAAGCGUGGGUAGCAAACGGGAUUAGAAACCCGGGUAGUCC
Molecule: ribosomal RNA, 274 nt
Filed under: uncultured bacterium
Lineage: Bacteria
Description: partial 16S ribosomal RNA
Rfam family: Bacterial small subunit ribosomal RNA
Source: RNAcentral